GAUGAACGCUGGCGGCGUGCCUAAUACAUGCAAGUCGAGCGAACAGACGAGGAGCUUGCUCCUCUGACGUUAGCGGCGGACGGGUGAGUAACACGUGGAUAACCUACCUAUAAGACUGGGAUAACUUCGGGAAACCGGAGCUAAUACCGGAUAAUAUAUUGAACCGCAUGGUUCAAUAGUGAAAGACGGUUUUGCUGUCACUUAUAGAUGGAUCCGCGCCGCAUUAGCUAGUUGGUAGGUAACGGCUUACCAAGGCAACGAUGCGUAGCCGACCUGAGAGGGUGAUCGGCCACACUGGAACUGAGACACGGUCCAGACUCCUACGGGAGGCAGCAGUAGGGAAUCUUCCGCAAUGGGCGAAAGCUUGACGGAGCAACGCCGCGUGAGUGAUGAAGGUCUUCGGAUCGUAAAACUCUGUUAUUAGGGAAGAACAAAUGUGGAAGUAACUAUGCACGUCUUGACGGUACCCAAUCAGAAAGCCACGGCUAACUACGUG
RNAcentral lists this ribosomal RNA (496 nucleotides) under uncultured bacterium. RNAcentral describes it as "partial 16S ribosomal RNA". It matches the Rfam family "Bacterial small subunit ribosomal RNA", at positions 28 to 507 of the family's 1533-position model. The record is from RNAcentral.